GUGCCAGCAGCCGCGGUAAUACCGGCAGCCCAAGUGAUGGCCACUCUUAUUGGGCCUAAAGCGUCCGUAGCCGGCCUCGCAAGUCCGUCGGGAAAUCCAGUAGCCCAACUACUGAGCGUCCGGCGGAAACUCCGAGGCUUGGGACCGGAAGGCUCGAAGGGUACGUUCGGGGUAGGAGUGAAAUCCCAUAAUCCCGCACGGACCACCGAUGGCGAAAGCACUUCGAGAAAACGGAUCCGACAGUGAGGGACGAAAGCCAGGGUCUCCAACCGGAUUAGAAACCCUAGUAGUCC
RNAcentral lists this ribosomal RNA (293 nucleotides) under uncultured bacterium. RNAcentral describes it as "partial 16S ribosomal RNA". It matches the Rfam family "Archaeal small subunit ribosomal RNA", at positions 455 to 747 of the family's 1478-position model. The record is from RNAcentral.